This 500-nucleotide ribosomal RNA is filed under the name uncultured bacterium. Its description in RNAcentral is "partial 16S ribosomal RNA". It matches the Rfam family "Bacterial small subunit ribosomal RNA", at positions 30 to 523 of the family's 1533-position model. The record is from RNAcentral.
AUUGAACGCUGGCGGAAUGCUUUACACAUGCAAGUCGAACGGCAGCACGGACUUCGGUCUGGUGGCGAGUGGCGAACGGGUGAGUAAUGUAUCGGAACGCGCCCAGUCGUGGGGGAUAACGUAGUGAAAAUUACGCUAAUACUGCAUACGAACUAUGGCUGAAAGCGGGGGAUCGCAAGCCCUCGCGCGAUUGGAGCGGCCGAUAUCAGAUUAGGUAGUUGGUGGGGUAAAGGCCCACCAAGCCAACGAUCUGUAGCUGGUCUGAGAGGACGACCAGCCACACUGGAACUGAGACACGGUCCAGACUCCUACGGGAGGCAGCAGUGGGGAAUUUUGGACAAUGGGCGAAAGCCUGAUCCUGCCAUUCCGCGUGCAGGAUGAAGGCCCUCGGGUUGUAAACUGCUUUUGUACAGAACGAAAAGGUUUCUACUAAUACUAGGAGCUCAUGACGGUACUGUAAGAAUAAGCACCGGCUAACUACGUGCCAGCCGCCGCGGUAA